Molecule: unclassified non-coding RNA, 223 nt
Filed under: plant metagenome
Description: partial contains small subunit ribosomal RNA, internal transcribed spacer 1, and 5.8S ribosomal RNA
Source: RNAcentral
UUUCCGUAGGUGAACCUGCGGAAGGAUCAUUACAGUGUUCUCUGCCCUCACGGGUAGAAACGCCCACCCUUGUGUAUUAUAUCCUUGUUGCUUUGGCAGGCCGCCCUCGGGCACCGGCUCCGGCUGGAUCGCGCCUGCCAGAGGAAACCCAAACUCUGAAUGUUAGUGUCGUCUGAGUACUAUCUAAUAGUUAAAACUUUCAACAACGGAUCUCUUGGUUCUG